This 534-nucleotide ribosomal RNA is filed under the name uncultured Acidobacteriota bacterium. RNAcentral describes it as "bacterial SSU rRNA". It matches the Rfam family "Bacterial small subunit ribosomal RNA", at positions 957 to 1482 of the family's 1533-position model. Lineage: Bacteria; Pseudomonadati; Acidobacteriota. The record is from RNAcentral.
CAACGCGAAGAACCUUACCUGGGCUCGAACGGCUCACGAACGUCCUUGGAAACAGGGAUUUCCCGCAAGGGACGGGAGUCGAGGUGCUGCAUGGCUGUCGUCAGCUCGUGUCGUGAGAUGUUGGGUUAAGUCCCGCAACGAGCGCAACCCUUGUCCUGUGUUGCCAUGAUUUAGUAAUAGAUCGGAACUCGCAGGAGACCGCCAGCGAUAAGCUGGAGGAAGGUGGGGAUGACGUCAAGUCCUCAUGGCCUUUAUGUCCAGGGCUACACACGUGCUACAAUGGCCGGUACAAUGCGCUGCUAAGCCGCAAGGUGGAGCCAAUCGCAAAAAACCGGUCUCAGUUCGGAUUGCAGGCUGCAACUCGCCUGCAUGAAGCUGGAAUCGCUAGUAAUGCCGUAUCAGAACGAUGGCGUGAAUACGUUCCCGGGCCUUGUACACACCGCCCGUCACAUCACGAAAGUGGAUUGUACUAGAAGUCUGCAGGCCGACUCGCAAGAGAGGCAGCGGCCCAAGGUAUGAUUCAUGAUUGGGGUG